RNAcentral lists this ribosomal RNA (253 nucleotides) under uncultured bacterium. Its description in RNAcentral is "partial 16S ribosomal RNA". It matches the Rfam family "Bacterial small subunit ribosomal RNA", at positions 524 to 776 of the family's 1533-position model. The record is from RNAcentral.
UACGUAGGUAGCAAGCGUUGUCCGGAUUUAUUGGGUUUAAAGGGUGCGUAGGCGGUCCUAUAAGUCAGUUGUGAAAUACGGCAGCUUAACUGUCGAGGUGCAAUUGAUACUGCAGGACUUGAGUACAGACGAGGUAGGCGGAAUUGACGGUGUAGCGGUGAAAUGCUUAGAUAUCGUCAAGAACACCGAUAGCGAAGGCAGCUUACUGGGCUGUAACUGACGCUGAGGCACGAAAGUGUGGGGAUCAAACGGG